This 1254-nucleotide long non-coding RNA is filed under the name Zostera marina. RNAcentral describes it as "long non-coding RNA (ZMAR_LNC004145)". The record is from RNAcentral. Lineage: Eukaryota; Viridiplantae; Streptophyta; Magnoliopsida; Alismatales; Zosteraceae.
CACGGUUGGAUUGCAAAUGAAUUUUCCCAAAUCUCCAUCAAAACCUGGUUUAUCAGAUCGAAUAACAGAAGAUGGUUCAGAUUUACAUCGUCACAGUCGGUGGUCAUUCUCUCCGAUUCCUCGAAUAAUGAGUGGUCGAGUUGAAGGUAGUGCUCACUGUCGGGUGUACCACCACCGCCGCCGAAUCCUGAUUUUUUCAGAAUUGAUAUCAUAUAAUCGAAUUCCGUAGAGGUGUUGUUAAUCCGACUUAGAGUUUCGGCUUUUUCAUUCAUCUUCGUGAUCUUCACAUCUAAAGGCUCCGGUUUUUCUUCUUCUUCUUCUUCUUCGAUGACGGCGGAGAUGGAAGGUUCUUCCGUCUUGGGUUUCUUCGACGUCAAAUUAUUAUCGUCGAUGUCAGAAAUCCGUUGAUGGAAAUUAGACGCAAUUCUCGAUCCGACGUCAAAUUCCGUCAUAGAGAGAAUCCUCGUCAGAGAUUUCGACGACAGGCUUUUCGUCGGACGUUUAGUACUGGAAAGGUGUCUUGUGAAGCUACGACUAUGUUCAAGCGACGGUGACAGUUUCGUUGCCGAAGCAGCUGACUCCAACAAACUGGAGUACUGUUCUAAUGAUUCCGACAGAGAUCUCGACUUCGUAAACCUCCGACGACUGGCGUACGAACUCCCAAUUACUCCAUCUUUCUGCGUCGACGACAGUGAUAACGAUCGACCGUACGGGAUUCUGUGGAGAACUCCGUCCAUCGAUAUACGAUCUCCGACCACCAUCUUCCCGGCCUCCUUCUGCUCUUCCUCGCCGACCACUUCAUCCUCCUCCUCCUCCUCCUUUUUCUUCUUCUUCUUUUUCUUCUUCUUGCCGAUCUUCAACUUUCGAAGAGAUGGAAAACUCUUGAAAUCUUCAGAUGAAGGAGACCCACGUUUUAUAAAAGAAGUACUUGAGUUCCGAAGAUCUCGGAAGUAGUUUUCCGACACGACAGAAUCUGGGUUUUGUAUAAUUUGCAAAAAUACCUCUCUAUUUGCAUUAAAUAACUCUAAAGCAUCUACAAAACUCCUCCCUCUCCCCGCUUCUCUACCUUGUGUACAUGACUUCACCUCGUUUAUCUUUUCUUGUAGGAUCCUUUGCUUCUCAAACUCAUCCGACUCAUGGUGGCGGUGAGUCUGGGUCGAGCCAGGGUCGGAAUUGUACCCAUCUACGACGAGACUAUCUAGGUUCUCCGACGAGUAGUACUCAAUGGAAGUGUCAUCCAUCUGGAAAAUCGAC